RNAcentral lists this ribosomal RNA (497 nucleotides) under uncultured bacterium. RNAcentral's name for it is "partial 16S ribosomal RNA". It matches the Rfam family "Bacterial small subunit ribosomal RNA", at positions 28 to 507 of the family's 1533-position model. The record is from RNAcentral.
GAUGAACGCUGGCGGCGUGCCUAAUACAUGCAAGUCGAGCGAACAGACGAGGAGCUUGCUCCUCUGACGUUAGCGGCGGACGGGUGAGUAACACGUGGAUAACCUACCUAUAAGACUGGGAUAACUUCGGGAAACCGGAGCUAAUACCGGAUAACAUGUUGAACCGCAUGGUUCAACAGUGAAAGACGGUCUUGCUGUCACUUAUAGAUGGAUCCGCGCCGCAUUAGCUAGUUGGUAAGGUAACGGCUUACCAAGGCAACGAUGCGUAGCCGACCUGAGAGGGUGAUCGGCCACACUGGAACUGAGACACGGUCCAGACUCCUACGGGAGGCAGCAGUAGGGAAUCUUCCGCAAUGGGCGAAAGCCUGACGGAGCAACGCCGCGUGAGUGAAGAAGGUCUUCGGAUCGUAAAACUCUGUUAUUAGGGAAGAACAAAUGUGUAAGUAACUAUGCACGUCUUGACGGUACCUAAUCGGAAAGCCACGGCUAACUACGUG